CUGUGAGCUCGAUGAGUAGGGCGGGACACGUGGUAUCCUGUCUGAAUAUGGGGGGACCAUCCUCCAAGGCUAAAUACUCCUGACUGACCGAUAGUGAACCAGUACCGUGAGGGAAAGGCGAAAAGAACCCCGGCGAGGGGAGUGAAAAAGAACCUGAAACCGUGUACGUACAAGCAGUGGGAGCACGCUUAGGCGUGUGACUGCGUACCUUUUGUAUAAUGGGUCAGCGACUUAUAUUCUGUAGCAAGGUUAACCGAAUAGGGGAGCCGAAGGGAAACCGAGUCUUAACUGGGCGUUAAGUUGCAGGGUAUAGACCCGAAACCCGGUGAUCUAGCCAUGGGCAGGUUGAAGGUUGGGUAACACUAACUGGAGGACCGAACCGACUAAUGUUGAAAAAUUAGCGGAUGACUUGUGGCUGGGGGUGAAAGGCCAAUCAAACCGGGAGAUAGCUGGUUCUCCCCGAAAGCUAUUUAGGUAGCGCCUCGUGAAUUCAUCUCCGGGGGUAGAGCACUGUUUCGGCAAGGGGGUCAUCCCGACUUACCAACCCGAUGCAAACUGCGAAUACCGGAGAAUGUUAUCACGGGAGACACACGGCGGGUGCUAACGUCCGUCGUGAAGAGGGAAACAACCCAGACCGCCAGCUAAGGUCCCAAAGUCAUGGUUAAGUGGGAAACGAUGUGGGAAGGCCCAGACAGCCAGGAUGUUGGCUUAGAAGCAGCCAUCAUUUAAAGAAAGCGUAAUAGCUCACUGGUCGAGUCGGCCUGCGCGGAAGAUGUAACGGGGCUAAACCAUGCACCGAAGCUGCGGCAGCGACGCUUAUGCGUUGUUGGGUAGGGGAGCGUUCUGUAAGCCUGCGAAGGUGUGCUGUGAGGCAUGCUGGAGGUAUCAGAAGUGCGAAUGCUGACAUAAGUAACGAUAAAGCGGGUGAAAAGCCCGCUCGCCGGAAGACCAAGGGUUCCUGUCCAACGUUAAUCGGGGCAGGGUGAGUCGACCCCUAAGGCGAGGCCGAAAGGCGUAGUCGAUGGGAAACAGGUUAAUAUUCCUGUACUUGGUGUUACUGCGAAGGGGGGACGGAGAAGGCUAUGUUGGCCGGGCGACGGUUGUCCCGGUUUAAGCGUGUAGGCUGGUUUUCCAGGCAAAUCCGGAAAAUCAAGGCUGAGGCGUGAUGACGAGGCACUACGGUGCUGAAGCAACAAAUGCCCUGCUUCCAGGAAAAGCCUCUAAGCAUCAGGUAACAUCAAAUCGUACCCCAAACCGACACAGGUGGUCAGGUAGAGAAUACCAAGGCGCUUGAGAGAACUCGGGUGAAGGAACUAGGCAAAAUGGUGCCGUAACUUCGGGAGAAGGCACGCUGAUAUGUAGGUGAAGUCCCUCGCGGAUGGAGCUGAAAUCAGUCGAAGAUACCAGCUGGCUGCAACUGUUUAUUAAAAACACAGCACUGUGCAAACACGAAAGUGGACGUAUACGGUGUGACGCCUGCCCGGUGCCGGAAGGUUAAUUGAUGGGGUCAGCGCAAGCGAAGCUCUUGAUCGAAGCCCCGGUAAACGGCGGCCGUAACUAUAACGGUCCUAAGGUAGCGAAAUUCCUUGUCGGGUAAGUUCCGACCUGCACGAAUGGCGUAAUGAUGGCCAGGCUGUCUCCACCCGAGACUCAGUGAAAUUGAACUCGCUGUGAAGAUGCAGUGUACCCGCGGCAAGACGGAAAGACCCCGUGAACCUUUACUAUAGCUUGACACUGAACAUUGAGCCUUGAUGUGUAGGAUAGGUGGGAGGCUUUGAAGUGUGGACGCCAGUCUGCAUGGAGCCGACCUUGAAAUACCACCCUUUAAUGUUUGAUGUUCUAACGUUGACCCGUAAUCCGGGUUGCGGACAGUGUCUGGUGGGUAGUUUGACUGGGGCGGUCUCCUCCUAAAGAGUAACGGAGGAGCACGAA
RNAcentral lists this ribosomal RNA (1932 nucleotides) under Escherichia coli. RNAcentral describes it as "partial 23S ribosomal RNA". It matches the Rfam family "Bacterial large subunit ribosomal RNA", at positions 397 to 2314 of the family's 2925-position model. The record is from RNAcentral. Lineage: Bacteria; Pseudomonadati; Pseudomonadota; Gammaproteobacteria; Enterobacterales; Enterobacteriaceae.